Pongo abelii (Sumatran orangutan) is the source of this 148-nucleotide unclassified non-coding RNA. It matches the Rfam family "Metazoan signal recognition particle RNA". Rfam says of the family: The signal recognition particle (SRP) is a universally conserved ribonucleoprotein. It is involved in the co-translational targeting of proteins to membranes. The eukaryotic SRP consists of a 300-nucleotide 7S RNA and six proteins: SRPs 72, 68, 54, 19, 14, and 9. Lineage: Eukaryota; Metazoa; Chordata; Mammalia; Primates; Hominidae. The record is from Ensembl.
GCCAGGCGUGGUGGCUCGUGCCUAUAAUCCCAGCUACUGGGGAGGCUGAGGCAAGAGAAUCGCUUGAACCUGGGAAGCAUAGGUUGCAGUGAGCCGAGAUUGCGCCACUGCACCCUAACCUGGGUGACAGAGCGAGACUUUGUCUCAA